CUCCAUGGAUCGUGCUUGGUUAGCCUGUAUGCAUCUGAAGGCUGCCCGGUGCAAUCGACAAGCCCAUUCAGCGUGCAAGUCUUUUUCGGCUUUCUUCAGUUCCCUGAAGCGCCUCCGAUAUGCCUCGGGUGUGAUGGCAUACCGGGCCAGGAUAACCUCUUUUACCCAGCUAUAGUCCUGGAUCUCUGCGUCUCGUACAGUGCGGUAAGCUUCGGUGGCUCUCC
Pelobates cultripes (western spadefoot toad) is the source of this 224-nucleotide non-coding RNA. The record is from the annotation of a GenBank genome assembly. Lineage: Eukaryota; Metazoa; Chordata; Amphibia; Anura; Pelobatidae.